AAUAGGGCCGGAUUGGGAUAUCCCGAAAUUAAAAGAUCUAAGGGAUUAUGAGCUAUUAGACAAAUAUAAAAUACUGUAGCAUUAGUAUAUCUCAAAUAAUACCUUAGUGGCGAAAGGCCUCCACUUUUAUUGAUAGCUGGAUAAAUGUUAAAUAUAUUAAGUUUAUAAGAAAUUUACAAAGUUAUAAGAUUUUGUAGGCAGAAUUUGGUGUAUUACUAACAAGGGCUAUUAACUAAUACUUUACAGCAAUACCGUUGGCUAUAAUGUUAUUACUUACUUAAUUCUAUCUUAACAUUUCCUUUAGCAUAGUUAGUCCCAUAAAUUAAUAAUGUAUAAAUGAGUAUAUAUAUAAAUUUAUCUAAAUGAACUCGGCAAACUAUAUAUACGACUGUUUAUCAAAAACAUAGCCGGUAGCUAGCACUUAUUAUCGGUGUAACCUGCCCGGUGAUAUUUUAACGGCCGCAGUACCAUGACUGUGCAAAGGUAGCAUAAUCAUUUGGCUUUUAAUUGGAGUCUGGUAUGAAAGGAUUCACGUAUAUAAGCUGUAUUAGGUAUAAACUCAUAAAAUUUAUUUAUAGGGUGAAAAUACCCUAGAUAAUAAAAAUAGACGAGAAGACCCUUAGAAUUUUAAGAAGAGCCGUGAAUUUACAUGGUAAAAUUUUUGUUGGGGCAACAAUAUUUCAGUAAAAUAAAUAUAAAGUUCAUUAAAUAUAACGAAGUAGUUUAAUCAAGUAAAAAUUACCUUAGGGAUAACAGCAUAAUUUUAAGUAAAGAUUGUGACCUCGAUGUUGGACUAGGAACUAUUAAGGCUAGUCGUUUUAAUAAAAUAAGUUCUGUUCGAACUUUGUUUCCUA
Molecule: ribosomal RNA, 854 nt
Filed under: Montenegrina attemsi attemsi
Lineage: Eukaryota; Metazoa; Mollusca; Gastropoda; Stylommatophora; Clausiliidae
Description: partial 16S ribosomal RNA
Rfam family: Archaeal large subunit ribosomal RNA (bases 338-593)
Source: RNAcentral